GCAGCUGUGGUUCUGAUCUUAGGGGUACUGGUACUUCUUGGAACCAAAAGAAGAAGAGAUGAUGGAAAGUAUUUGGCUGGCUUUGAUGAAACCUACAGUAUUGUCACCUAUGAGUUCACAAAUGAGUGACAACAGCUGCAUCAGCCCUGAGAGAUAAAGUGUACAGCUUUGCAGUGUUAAAGUUCAGCUGUUGCUUUUCU
Long non-coding RNA from Mugil cephalus (flathead mullet), 200 nucleotides. RefSeq lists it as uncharacterized. The record is from RefSeq and is a predicted model, not a curated record. NCBI's taxonomy places the organism in Eukaryota, Metazoa, Chordata, Actinopteri, Mugiliformes, Mugilidae. The transcript has 4 exons.